Molecule: non-coding RNA, 447 nt
Organism: Prunus avium (sweet cherry)
Lineage: Eukaryota; Viridiplantae; Streptophyta; Magnoliopsida; Rosales; Rosaceae
Source: RefSeq, a predicted model, not a curated record
AGUUCUUGAAACAGCACUGUAGAGGACUUGAGGCCAUCCGUUGCAGAAACACAGACACACAAAAACGUAUGGAAUAUGCAGGUCUCCUUAUCAAGUUCAAUUUUCCAUGUCUUUUUUUCUUGGGAAACUAAAUAAAAUCAAACACAAAUAUUUUAUCAAGGAAUAGGAAUUGCUUUGUCCAGUUGACUUUCUCGAGAAAACCCAUGUUGGCUGUCAACUUGUUUCAUGGGUCGUUGUUGCCGUACUAUUUAUGAUAAGACUUCAGAGAUCUCCUCCUCCUCCAUGAAUGUCAAAGCUUCUUCAAAUUCUGGUCUAUGAACCCAAUUGAUGAAACAGUAGCAGUUUCAAAAAUGACUGUAGGGAAUCAAGACGUGAAAAAGAAGUCUUUUAUCCAUAAGAUUUUCACCAUGAAGGAGAGAGACGGAAGUGGCUCAUCUGAUUUCCCUG